GAUUUCACAGUAUUUCGAUAACAAUGUUCCGAAAUCGGUUGUUGACAUGUCCGGUGUCUGUAGCUCAGCCGUGAAAAUGAUUUAUAGAAAUAAGGAAGCCGUUACAUCAUUGCCACCAGUAUAUAACAAGGUCCCACGCAAAAA
Long non-coding RNA from Leguminivora glycinivorella, 144 nucleotides. RefSeq lists it as uncharacterized. The transcript is spliced from 2 exons. The record is from RefSeq and is a predicted model, not a curated record. Lineage: Eukaryota; Metazoa; Arthropoda; Insecta; Lepidoptera; Tortricidae.